RNAcentral lists this ribosomal RNA (579 nucleotides) under Aspergillus flavus. Its description in RNAcentral is "partial large subunit ribosomal RNA". It matches the Rfam family "Eukaryotic large subunit ribosomal RNA", at positions 64 to 662 of the family's 3401-position model. Lineage: Eukaryota; Fungi; Ascomycota; Eurotiomycetes; Eurotiales; Aspergillaceae. The record is from RNAcentral.
ACCACCGGGCAUGCUCAGUACGGCGAGUGAAGCGGCAAGAGCUCAAAUUUGAAAGCUGGCUCCUUCGGGGUCCGCAUUGUAAUUUGCAGAGGAUGCUUCGGGUGCGGCCCCUGUCUAAGUGCCCUGGAACGGGCCGUCAGAGAGGGUGAGAAUCCCGUCUGGGAUGGGGUGUCCGCGCCCGUGUGAAGCUCCUUCGACGAGUCGAGUUGUUUGGGAAUGCAGCUCUAAAUGGGUGGUAAAUUUCAUCUAAAGCUAAAUACUGGCCGGAGACCGAUAGCGCACAAGUAGAGUGAUCGAAAGAUGAAAAGCACUUUGAAAAGAGAGUUAAAAAGCACGUGAAAUUGUUGAAAGGGAAGCGCUUGCGACCAGACUCGCCUCCAGGGUUCAGCCGGCAUUCGUGCCGGUGUACUUCCCUGGGGGCGGGCCAGCGUCGGUUUGGGCGGCCGGUCAAAGGCUCCCGGAAUGUAGUGCCCUCCGGGGCACCUUAUAGCCGGGAGUGCAAUGCGGCCAGCCUGGACCGAGGAACGCGCUUCGGCACGGACGCUGGCAUAAUGGUCGUAAACGACCCGUCUUGAAAAC